AGCUUUUCGAAUCCGUGCUGAGAUUUCGUCAGACACCAACCCAUUAGGGUUGAUGAGACUUUCAAGAUUAGUGAAGUU
Molecule: non-coding RNA, 78 nt
Organism: Schistosoma curassoni
Lineage: Eukaryota; Metazoa; Platyhelminthes; Trematoda; Strigeidida; Schistosomatidae
Source: Rfam